Long non-coding RNA from Mytilus trossulus (common blue mussel), 1004 nucleotides. RefSeq lists it as uncharacterized. NCBI's taxonomy places the organism in Eukaryota, Metazoa, Mollusca, Bivalvia, Mytilida, Mytilidae. The record is from RefSeq and is a predicted model, not a curated record. The transcript has 5 exons.
CAGAUAUUUUCAAUUGAUUUCAGACUAACAAGUUGGACAUCAUUUACAGAAGCAAAAUAUUUGAUGAUCUUUGAUGUGAAAAGAUUUGAAGCUGUUCUUGUAGCCACACAUACAUGAGGAACUUGCUAUAACUGUUUAAUUAACAAGGAAUCUAAAUAAACAGAAUGACUACAUAGCAACAAGACAGCAAGUCAUAAAGGAAAAAAGUUUGGUUGCUGGAAUGGAAUACAAGCAUGGAUACAAGCAUUUCCUGCUUCCCCAAAGAUGGAUGUUACAGAGAUUGUACAUCAGAAUGUUAUUAUGACAUCAAUUCAAAAUUUCCUUUUCAUUUGUUUCUGAAAGUUGACAUUGUAUUGCAUUCUCAACCUUUCAGAUGGGUACAAGAAAUUCAAACACAUUUAUGAAAAGUGAUAUUUAAAAGUUCAUUUCAAAAUUUAUAAUAUAAGAGCUAAACACCAUAAUGUUAGAAAGUUAAACAUAGCAGACUUGCUUGUCAGUGUUUACAAUCUGUUUCAAAGCAAAAUGGAUAGUAACCUUUGGUUGGCAAGACACAAAGCACGAGCAUGGCGCGGACUAACAUAGCACCCUCUAACAUAACCAAAAACAUGCAUUUGGCACAGUAUAUAACUUAAAUGCUAUGCUGACUUACUGAUCCUAUGGUUGAUUUACUCUUUCAAUUUCUGGUAAAUUUUAUUUAAUUGAAAAAAAUUGAUGAAUUUGUAGUUUUCUGAUGUGCUUCAGUGAAGAGCCAGUGGAAGCCAAAGUUUCUUGGGGAGGUUAAGAAUCUUCUUUCAUCUUGUAUACUUCACAAGAUUAUAUGACAGCCUGCAUCCUUAUAAGAUGAUAGCCAAUGUCAGUAUCCUCAACAUAACAGAUUGUUGUCAGCCUAUUUUGGUGUCCAUGCUGGAUUAGCAUAAAUCAUUUGAUUGAUUCUACCACAAACUGUAUCCUUACAAUAUCAGAUGUAUGCCAAAAUUGUAUCCUUACACAAUAAGAUGGAUGCC